CUAGAACUUGUUGCAGUACCAGAAGACGCCCUUGUGGUCCUUGGACUGGAUGUAGAUGCACUCCUUAGCCUCGCGCCAUAUCGCCUUGACGACGGGUGUGGGGUCGAACUGGUAGUACUCUCUGAGGACGGGUGGAUCACCUUGGUCGCCUCCACCAUGUGGUAGUGCGGGAUGGUAGGGAACAUGUGGUGCGCGACGUGCGUAUCCGUGAUAUUGUGGAACACUCGGUUGAGGAAGCCGUAGUCGCGGUCCACGGUGGCGAGCGCCCCGCGCAGCCAGUCCCACUCGUUGGAAUUCGUAGUGUGGGAUCGCUCGGUGAGUGUGAUGGAGGUGUAGGUGACGACCACCAG
Molecule: small RNA, 350 nt
Filed under: Oryza sativa Japonica Group (Japanese rice)
Lineage: Eukaryota; Viridiplantae; Streptophyta; Magnoliopsida; Poales; Poaceae
Description: sRNA Os07g0416750
Source: RNAcentral